RNAcentral lists this ribosomal RNA (465 nucleotides) under Vreelandella stevensii. Its description in RNAcentral is "partial 16S ribosomal RNA". It matches the Rfam family "Bacterial small subunit ribosomal RNA", at positions 338 to 795 of the family's 1533-position model. The record is from RNAcentral. Lineage: Bacteria; Pseudomonadati; Pseudomonadota; Gammaproteobacteria; Oceanospirillales; Halomonadaceae.
CCUACGGGCGGCAGCAGUGGGGAAUAUUGGACAAUGGGGGGAACCCUGAUCCAGCCAUGCCGCGUGUGUGAAGAAGGCCCUCGGGUUGUAAAGCACUUUCAGUGAGGAAGAACGCCUGGUGGUUAAUACCCAUCAGGAAAGACAUCACUCACAGAAGAAGCACCGGCUAACUCCGUGCCAGCAGCCGCGGUAAUACGGAGGGUGCGAGCGUUAAUCGGAAUUACUGGGCGUAAAGCGCGCGUAGGUGGCUUGAUAAGCCGGUUGUGAAAGCCCCGGGCUCAACCUGGGAACGGCAUCCGGAACUGUCAAGCUAGAGUGCAGGAGAGGAAGGUAGAAUUCCCGGUGUAGCGGUGACAUGCGUAGAGAUCGGGAGGAAUACCAGUGGCGAAGGCGGCCUUCUGGACUGACACUGACACUGAGGUGCGAAAGCGUGGGUAGCAAACAGGAUUAGAUACCCUUGUAGUC